Long non-coding RNA from Echinops telfairi (small Madagascar hedgehog), 992 nucleotides. RefSeq lists it as uncharacterized. NCBI's taxonomy places the organism in Eukaryota, Metazoa, Chordata, Mammalia, Afrosoricida, Tenrecidae. The transcript has 4 exons. The record is from RefSeq and is a predicted model, not a curated record.
GGUCUCCGCCUCUCCCGAGGCUCGCGCCCUCGGGGUAAGUCCCUCGUGCCUCGUGGAGAGGGAGGAAGAGGGCGCGCUAAAUGAAGGCAGGCGGCGGUCAGGGCUGGAAGGGAGAGCGAGAAGCAGGCCCGACAGAGUGAGGAGCGCAGUUCCCAGGCUGGAAUCUGCAGAAGGCACCGCCUCCACCCCUCACUCCCUUCGGGGGUGCGGCAGUACCCCGGGGACCAGAGCGACGGACGUGUUCCGGUGGUCGAAGCUGCACGGGCUACGGGUGGACUACGUUUCCCAGAAGGCGGCGCGGCAGUGUGCCUACGACUCCCGGCAGCACCUACGCGUCAGGCUUUUUUUCCUGUUCGCCGCCUAGGGCCAAACUACAGUUCCCAGGAGACCUCGCGCGAAGCGCCUUGGAAGUGGGCAGCCUGGAAGUCACUUGGGCCACCGAGGUUGGAGGCGUCUGUAGCGAGCGGCGAGAGGCUGGACACUGCGGUCGUGGGUCCCGCGGGGCGGGCAGUCCAGGCGUCCAGAUGCAGUCUUUGAUGCCGGCUCUCCUGAGACCCUCCGACCUCUAGAGUCCUGGGUGUGCGAAGGAUUUUGGGAACUUGGCAUCUGCAAGGAGGCUGCCUGAGGGACCAGACGAGGAGCACCUGGCUGGGACUGGUCGUGGGUGCACGGCGGGAGGACCCCUGCAGCCCGCCAGUCCUGGACAUCACCAGCGCUUCGCCCUGCCAUGCGGAGCGGCCCUCCGUCCACGGCCCCCAGGACAGCGCCCGCCUCCUGAGGCGGUCCUGGCCCAGCGGUGCACAGCGAUGGUGGAGAGCUGGCCUCCACAGGCGCACGACCUUCCCGUCCGGUUUCGGGGGCCAUCCUCCUUCGUCCAGGGGCCGGCGGCCCUGAACAAUGGCUGAGGGCUGGGGGGCCCCAUAGAGUCGCCUCACAGCUCCCGGCGGCCCGCUGCAGCCCCAGCGCGCGCGCCCGUGGACUAUGACCACCUA